UUUUUAGUUCAGUUUUGUGUCGUCUGUUCUGUCACUGAUAAAUGAUACACAGCAGCCUGUUUGUCAGCGAUGGGGAAUAUACAACAGAGAAAGCUUUGCUAUUUUAUCCUGGUCUCUCUAUGUUUGACCUGUACUCCACCUGCUGCAGAUGGUCAGAUCAGACUGGCUGGGUCUGGGUCUAGUCACUGUGCUGGGAGAGUUGAAAUCUAUUACAACAACAUCUGGG
Molecule: non-coding RNA, 226 nt
Organism: Epinephelus lanceolatus (giant grouper)
Lineage: Eukaryota; Metazoa; Chordata; Actinopteri; Perciformes; Serranidae
Source: RefSeq, a predicted model, not a curated record